UAACGGGUGAGCAAUCUACCUCCUAGUUGGGGAUAGCCCUUCUAACGAAGGAUUAAUACCGAAUAUAGUAUGGCAUCUUAUGUUGUCCAUACGAAAGGCUUCGGCCGCUGGGAGAUGAGCUCGCUUAAGAUUAGCUAGUUGGUGAGGUAACGGCUCACCAAGGCAACGAUCUUUAGCCGGCCUGAGAGGGUGAUCGGCCACAUUGGGACUGAGAUACGGCCUAGACUCC
Molecule: ribosomal RNA, 229 nt
Filed under: uncultured bacterium
Lineage: Bacteria
Description: partial 16S ribosomal RNA
Rfam family: Bacterial small subunit ribosomal RNA
Source: RNAcentral